Long non-coding RNA from Bacillus rossius redtenbacheri, 835 nucleotides. RefSeq lists it as uncharacterized. NCBI's taxonomy places the organism in Eukaryota, Metazoa, Arthropoda, Insecta, Phasmatodea, Bacillidae. The record is from RefSeq and is a predicted model, not a curated record. The transcript is spliced from 2 exons.
UGUAACUGACCUGACCUAAUCGACCAUUUUAAUUAAUUAGGCAUUCACGAACACACAACAAAAUAAAAUAAAAAUGCGUUUUUUCACCUAAACAAAAGAAUUCCGAAGUCACCCGAAGGCAGAUAUUCGGUAAUGUUCGGGCAUGUCGAAUACUCGGUGUGAAUCGUAGGCUUCCCCAGGACGGGGGCGGGCUCGGGUCUGCGCGCCGUGUCGUGGCACCACUGGCUCUCUGUGCCGCCUUCUUUCGCGACGCUAGGACAUCCGUGCGGCAUUUGCUAGGAGUCGUUCCGUGGAAAAAUUGAAAAGGUGUCGAUGAAAACGAAAUUUGACCAUACCUUGGCGGACCCACGCAUAGAACAUUAAACCCGCAUAUAAAUUCAAGUCGCAUCAGUACUCGAGAAUAAGAGUGGAUCUGUGUGAGCCCAAGUUAUUUUUGAAAUUAUAUUUUCCGUCCCUCACACCUCGUCAUACCUUCUUCGCCCCAUGCGUGGCUAUUGUUGAGGUGGGCUUCAGUACAACGUCACGUAAUUGGACUCCGCUCAACAUUCCCAGAGAGGCACAAGAAAGAAAUCUGCAUGUUUCAAGCCUACAUACUUGGUAAUAUUGCUGGUAUACUGUAAAGAGUUAUUUGACAGUAAAAUUUUUCUGUCUUCGUUUGUGAAGAGUGAAGGCGAAAUGCGGGACAAUGUGUACAUAUGUAAUGUGCAAUAUGUAAAUACGUAAUAUAAUUUUUUUUUUCAUUUACAUGUGUUCAAGUUUUUAGAAGUUCAAGAAGAGAAUGCUUGUGCGCUGUGAAAGUUGAAACAAUAAACAAACAUUAAAUCGUUUGAAGAAA